Molecule: ribosomal RNA, 369 nt
Filed under: uncultured bacterium
Lineage: Bacteria
Description: bacterial SSU rRNA
Rfam family: Bacterial small subunit ribosomal RNA
Source: RNAcentral
GUAGGGUGCAAGCGUUAAUCGGAAUUACUGGGCGUAAAGCGUGCGCAGGCGGUUUUGUAAGUCAGAUGUGAAAUCCCCGGGCUUAACCUGGGAACUGCGUUUGAAACUACAAGGCUAGAGUGUGGCAGAGGGGGGUGGAAUUCCACGUGUAGCAGUGAAAUGCGUAGAGAUGUGGAGGAACACCGAUGGCGAAGGCAGCCCCCUGGGUUAACACUGACGCUCAGGCACGAAAGCGUGGGGAGCAAACAGGAUUAGAUACCCUGGUAGUCCACGCCCUAAACGAUGUCAACUAKUUGUCGGGUCUUAACGGACUUGGUAACGCAGCUAACGCGUGAAGUUGACCGCCUGGGGAGUACGGUCGCAAGAUUA